AUGUGAGGGCGAUCUGGCUGCGACAUCUGUCACCCCACUGAUCGCCAGGGUUGAUUUGGCUGAUCUAGCUGGCUAGGCGGGUGUCCCCCUCCUCCCUCACCAAU
This 104-nucleotide small nuclear RNA is filed under the name Myotis brandtii (Brandt's bat). Its description in RNAcentral is "7SK RNA". It matches the Rfam family "7SK RNA", at positions 3 to 106 of the family's 331-position model. From Rfam's summary of the family: 7SK was discovered as an abundant small nuclear RNA in the mid-70s but a possible function has only recently been suggested. Lineage: Eukaryota; Metazoa; Chordata; Mammalia; Chiroptera; Vespertilionidae. The record is from Rfam by way of RNAcentral.